GUCCUCUCAGGGUCGCACCUGGAGAGUUUCCAGGACUCUACCAGUCUCGACUAUAGGAGGGAGAGUCAAGUAGAUGCAUAACCAGUCCAUCCCUAGCUUGGCGAGUGGCUAGUGAGUGGAAGGCAAUCUGUUACAGGU
Ornithorhynchus anatinus (platypus) is the source of this 138-nucleotide small nucleolar RNA. Lineage: Eukaryota; Metazoa; Chordata; Mammalia; Monotremata; Ornithorhynchidae. The record is from RefSeq and is a predicted model, not a curated record.